Molecule: long non-coding RNA, 2028 nt
Filed under: Pongo abelii (Sumatran orangutan)
Lineage: Eukaryota; Metazoa; Chordata; Mammalia; Primates; Hominidae
Description: lincRNA
Source: RNAcentral
UGCACCCUCUGGCCCCGCCGGCUGAUUACCGCCAGAGAUCGAGGGGGACCUCGCCGUCCCCCUAGAGGCCGUCAUAUGGGGUUACAGAGGCUGCGACCAAAGUCAUUCCUAGGUCUUCUCUCGGGGCCCCAGAAAGCCGUCCGCGCCUUCAGCCGCACUUUCAGCGCACGCAUGACCUGCCGCGCCCGGUGGCCACACCCGUCCCGUCUGCCGGGUGACGCUGCGGGAGAUCUUGCGCCCUGGGGCUCCGGAUCCAGUUCUGGCACGUUGUUGCACCUGUGACUUGUCCUUGGCCUGGCACUGUCCCUCGCCUGGGGGAAGUGGCGGGGGGGGGGGGGGGAUGCUCACGUGGUCGCUUUGCUCCCGCAGUCAUGCACUUGGGUGAAAACAGACUGAAGAGUCACGGGAACCAGCUUGUCUCCCUAGUUAUGGCGCAGAGCUGCAAGGAUGGCUGUGGGUCAUUAAUUUCUCCGUGGCUGACCUGUGUUUGUAACGCCGCAGCUGUUGCGAGGGGGAAGGACACUGCUUCGGAUUCAAAUUCUGACUCCUUGCUGCAGUGUGUCACCUUGAGCAAGUCCCAGAUCUCUGCGUUCUCACAAUUGUAAAAUGUUGACAGUGGCUGCCUACCUUGUGGCUGGAAUUAAAUGAAUUAACGUGUGUGAAUAUGACUAGAAUUCAGUAUAUGUUCAGGAAAAGCUGAUUUCCGCUUUGCUGUUACCGUGAAUAUUCCUGUUUUAGGAUGUAGAAAAGGGUGGAAGGGGAUGUUAUUGCAUCCUGGAAGCUUAUCCUUUUGAGGUAAAGAUUGAUUUCUGGUCCCCUGCAUGGUAUAUAGUGUAGUUUUGACAUUAUUUAGAUGUGUUACGCACAUUUGGGUGUUGAUUAUAUGGCUUACGAUCAAGACUAACCAGUCAUGCCAUGGGAGAUUAAGGUCGUGGUCUCUUGUCAGGAUUGUGGUGAGAUUUAAAAAUUCCAGCCAGAAAUACCAGGCUUAGAAUGCUCUGAAGCCCUCCCCACAUUUUUGCCAUCUCUAGCAGGAGGGCACUGCAUAGCAGAAACAAAGACGUUGUAAAUUGUUGCUGCCUGAGUCAUUUAUAGAGGCUUAAACAACUUGAAUGUCCUCUGACCUACCUAUAACAUUUGAUGGAGUUGUAUGAGUAACUUACAAAAUUGUAGGUCCCAAGGUCGGUCUGAAAAAGAAAGUUCAUAUCCGGGAGCACUGACCCUGUAGUGUAAUCCUGGCACCUUAAAACGUACUGCUCCCUCCACCUUGACGUCAAGGUUAUGAAAACAUUGAGUAAAAAGGAUGAUCUGUUCAAAGUCCUUAGUGUUCUGCCAAUUUAAAACAGUAAUUUUCAAAGCAGUUAUUUGCAAGGAAAUUGCCUAGAACUUCUCCCAGUGUGCGGUUGUUUUGUGUGUUUGUGUGUGUGUUUUGUUUGUUUGUUUGUUUUCAGUCUGUCCACAGGUGUACUUUUAUAGGUCUGUGAUAGUAGGUAGCUCUUCAAGUUGGCAAACACCUGCUGGACAACCCCUGAGAGAUUCAUCUCAGUGAGAGAGCACUCUCCAGCCCCAUCGGAGUGGGUUUGCAGGGAAAUCAUAAGGAAGAAAUCCUUAUCUUUCCAACACUGAGAUGCCUCUGCCGAAGGGUAGAAAGGGAGUGAGAGGACAUGCAAAACGGGCUGCUGUCGGAGGAAGAGGAACAGGGUUGCGGCUCAUGCCAUGUGAAUGGGCUCACUGGCCUGGCCGAGACCCUGACAGCCCACAGGAUCUUUGACAGAGAAACGGAGGCACAGAGAAGGAAGCGACAGUUAAAGCUGCGAAGAACCUAACAAAUUUCAAGAUUGUAAGUGCCUUUUCCCAGGAUGCCAGCAAGUACUGAGCUUGUAUUUUGAACUGCGUCAAACCCUGUUGGAAUAAAAAAGGACAUUUCUAGGAGAUCAGUCUUCAAGAUUGGCCCCAGUUUCCCCAGAGUAGGAAGAGGCAGGAAGCCAGAGCACAUGUUCUCUCCAGAAAUAAAGUUGUUGCAGUGGC